AGAUUAGCCUUUCUCUCAGGAGGUUUAACACUUCAUGACUGACAGCUACCCUUCAUCACAACAGACUCCAUACAAACAUGACUUUGAUCAGCCUCAGCAUCUUGCUCUUCAUCCUCACUCACGAAUCCAGUGGUCAGAUCACUGUGACUCAGACUCCUGCAGUAAAGGCUGUUCUCCAUGGACAGACUGUCACUGUGAGCUGUAAAGUCAGUCCGGCUGUGUAUGACGAUGAUAAUUUAGCCUGGUAUCAACAGAAACCUGGAGAAGCUCCUAAACUCUUAAUCUAUAGUGCAACAUACCUUGAGUCUGGGAUUCCGUCUCGAUUCAGUGGCAGUGGAUCUAGUACUGACUUCACUCUGACCAUCAGUGGAGUCCAGGCUGAAGAUGCAGGAGAUUAUUACUGUCAGAGUUACCACUAUAUCAGUAGUAAAGAUGUGUUCACUUUCGGCGGCGGUACCAGACUGGAUGUUGGAAGUAACACAGCCCCCACCCUAACGGUCCUGCCCCCCUCCAGUGUGGAGGUGUCCAGCAAGAACACGGCCACCCUGAUGUGCCUGGCCAACAGGGGCUUCCCCUCCGACUGGAAGCUGAGCUGGAAGGUGGACGGUAAAAGCAAAGUGGCGGAGACGAGCCGCGGGCUCCUGGAGAAGGACGGCCUGUACAGCUGGAGCAGCAGCCUGAGCCUCACUGCGGAGGAGUGGAAGAAGGCGGGCUCAGUGGUCUGUGAGGCCAAUCAGGGCUCCCAGGCUACUGUCACUCAAACGCUGAAGAGGGCCGACUGUUCAGAGUAGAUGAGCUCACUGAUGAGAUUACUGUGUUUUUACUGUGCUGUGCUACACUCUUCCAUAAACUACUUUUUUAAUGCAGAUACUAAACGUUUUAUUAGCAUCCUUUUCAUUCAUAAUGUAGCUUCUGUUUUUGAUUAGAUUGCAUCCAUGUUAUGUUUCGUAUUGUGCUCAAGUGAUGAAUUAAAUGCAUUUAAGAACAAUAAAAACAUUUCCAGAGAA
Non-coding RNA from Brienomyrus brachyistius, 1007 nucleotides. The record is from the annotation of a RefSeq genome assembly. Lineage: Eukaryota; Metazoa; Chordata; Actinopteri; Osteoglossiformes; Mormyridae.